Molecule: non-coding RNA, 298 nt
Organism: Arachis ipaensis
Lineage: Eukaryota; Viridiplantae; Streptophyta; Magnoliopsida; Fabales; Fabaceae
Source: RefSeq, a predicted model, not a curated record
UUCAGCCGUUCUUUCUUAGUUUCAGUAAGUAUUCCGGUUUCGAGAGCUCUGCGUUAGUGUUCUGUUCUGUGUAAUAAAGUAAUCGUAAUGUUAAUGGUUUUAGGAGCUAGAAUCCGGUUUACUUGUGCCGUUUGGGGCUGUUUCUGGUUUUGAGAGAGCGGGCAGAGCCGAGAUUUUGAUUGCCGGUGAUUUCGGGUCGAGAUAAAAGGAGUUGGUUAACGAGUUGGGUUGUGGUUCCAAUGUUGUGAGGAUAUGGGCGCAGAAGUUACGAAGAGCUUAUUUAAUUAUUUGUAUUUGA